RNAcentral lists this ribosomal RNA (454 nucleotides) under uncultured bacterium. RNAcentral describes it as "partial 16S ribosomal RNA". It matches the Rfam family "Bacterial small subunit ribosomal RNA", at positions 28 to 507 of the family's 1533-position model. The record is from RNAcentral.
GAUGAACGCUGACAGAAUGCUUAACACAUGCAAGUCAACUUGAACUUCGGUUUGGGUGGCGGACGGGUGAGUCACGCGUAGAGAACUUGCCUCACAGUUAGGGACAACAUUUGGAAACGAAUGCUAAUACCUGAUAUUAUGAUUUUAGGGCAUCCUAGACUUAUGAAAGUUAUAUGCGCUGUGAGAGAGCUUUUCGUCCCAUUAGCUAGUUGGAGAGGUAACGGCUCACCAAGGCGAUGAUGGGUAGCCGGCCUGAGAGGGUGAACGGCCACAAGGAGACUGAGACACGGCCGUUACACCUACGGGAGGCAGCAAGGGGGAAUAUUGGACAAUGGACCAAGAGUCUGAUCCAGCAAUUCUGUGUGCACGAUGAAGUUUUUCGGAAUGUAAAGUGCUUUCAGUUGGGAAGAAAAUAAUGACGGUACCAACAGAAGAAGCGACGGCUAAAUACGUG